UGGCGACGGGUGAGUAACGCGUGGGUAACCUGCCCUGUACAGGGGGACAACAGUUAGAAAUGACUGCUAAUACCGCAUAAGCGCACAGGACCGCAUGGUCCGGUGUGAAAAACUCCGGUGGUACAGGAUGGACCCGCGUCUGAUUAGGUAGUUGGCGGGGUAACGGCCCACCAAGCCGACGAUCAGUAGCCGACCUGAGAGGGUGACCGGCCACAUUGGGACUGAGACACGGCCCAAACUCCUACGGGAGGCAGCAG
This 257-nucleotide ribosomal RNA is filed under the name uncultured bacterium. Its description in RNAcentral is "partial 16S ribosomal RNA". It matches the Rfam family "Bacterial small subunit ribosomal RNA", at positions 96 to 354 of the family's 1533-position model. The record is from RNAcentral.